ACGGCUCAGUAACACGUAGACAACCUACCCUAUGGAGGGGGAUAACCCCGGGAAACUGGGGAUAAUACCCCAUAGACUAUGAAUGCUGGAAUGCUUUGUAGUUGAAAGGUCCGCCGCCAUAGGAUGGGUCUGCGGCCGAUUAGGUUGUUGUUGGGGUAACGGCCCAACAAGCCUGUAAUCGGUACGGGUUGUGGGAGCAAGAGCCCGGAGAUGGAUUCUGAGACACGAAUCCAGGCCCUACGGGGCGCAGCAGGCGCGAAAACUUUACAAUGCGGGAAACCGUGAUAAGGGAACUCCGAGUGCCCGUAAAAUCGGGCUGUCCAUCUGUUUAAAUAACAGGUGAAGAAAGGGCCGGGCAAGACCGGUGCCAGCCGCCGCGGUAAUACCGGCGGCUCGAGUGGUGGCCACUAUUACUGGGCUUAAAGCGUUCGUAGCUGGUCUGUUAAGUCUCUGGGGAAAUCUACUGGCUUAACCAAUAGGCGUUUCAGGGAUACUGGCAGACUAGGGACCGGGAGAGGUGAGGGGUACUCCAGGGGUAGGAGUGAAAUCCUGUAAUCCUUGGGGGACCACCUGUGGCGAAGGCGCCUCACCAGAACGGCUCCGACAGUGAGGGACGAAAGCUGGGGGAGCAAACCGGAUUAGAUACCCGGGUAGUCCCAGCUGUAAACGAUGCAGACUCGGUGAUGGACUAGCUUUAUGCUAGUCCAGUGCCGCAGGGAAGCCGUUAAGUCUGCCGCCUGGGUAGUACGGUCGCAAGACUGAAACUUAAAGGAAUUGGCGGGGGAG
RNAcentral lists this ribosomal RNA (786 nucleotides) under uncultured archaeon. RNAcentral describes it as "bacterial SSU rRNA". It matches the Rfam family "Archaeal small subunit ribosomal RNA", at positions 85 to 876 of the family's 1478-position model. The record is from RNAcentral.